This 253-nucleotide ribosomal RNA is filed under the name uncultured bacterium. RNAcentral describes it as "partial 16S ribosomal RNA". It matches the Rfam family "Bacterial small subunit ribosomal RNA", at positions 524 to 776 of the family's 1533-position model. The record is from RNAcentral.
UACGUAGGGUGCAAGCGUUAAUCGGAAUUACUGGGCGUAAAGCGUGCGCAGGCGGUUAUGCAAGACAGAGGUGAAAUCCCCGGGCUCAACCUGGGAACUGCAUUUGUGACUGCAUGGCUAGAGUACGGUAGAGGGGGAUGGAAUUCCGCGUGUAGCAGUGAAAUGCGUAGAUAUGCGGAGGAACACCGAUGGCGAAGGCAAUCCCCUGGACCUGUACUGACGCUCAUGCACGAAAGCGUGGGGAGCAAACAGG